AGGAAUAUUGGUCAAUGGGCGGAAGCCUGAACCAGCCAAGUAGCGUGAAGGAUGACUGCCCUAUGGGUUGUAAACUUCUUUUAUAGGGGAAUAAAAUGAGCCACGUGUGGCUUUUUGUAUGUACCCUAUGAAUAAGGAUCGGCUAACUCCGUGCCAGCAGCCGCGGUAAUACGGAGGAUCCGAGCGUUAUCCGGAUUUAUUGGGUUUAAAGGGAGCGUAGGUGGACAUGUAAGUCAGUUGUGAAAGUUUGCGGCUCAACCGUAAAAUUGCAGUUGAUACUGUGUGUCUUGAGUACAGUAGAGGUGGGCGGAAUUCGUGGUGUAGCGGUGAAAUGCUUAGAUAUCACGAAGAACUCCGAUUGCGAAGGCAGCUCACUGGACUGUUACUGACACUGAGGCUCGAAAGUGUGGGUAUCAAACAGGAUUAGAUACCCUGGUAGUCCACACAGUAAACGAUGAAUACUCGCUGUUUGCGAUAUACAGCAAGCGGCCAAGCGAAAGCAUUAAGUAUUCCACCUGGGGAGUACGCCGGCAACGGUGAAACUCAAAGGAAUUGACGGGGGCCCGCACAAGCGGAGGAACAUGUGGUUUAAUUCGAUGAUACGCGAGGAACCUUACCCGGGCUUAAAUUGCAUUUGAAUGUUGGGGAAACCCAACAGCCGUAAGGCAAAUGUGAAGGUGCUGCAUGGUUGUCGUCAGCUCGUGCCGUGAGGUGUCGGCUUAAGUGCCAUAACGAGCGCAACCCUUAUCUUUAGUUACUAACAGGUUAUGCUGAGGACUCUAGAGAGACUGCCGUCGUAAGAUGUGAGGAAGGUGGGGAUGACGUCAAAUCAGCACGGCCCUUACGUCCGGGGCUACACACGUGUUACAAUGGGGGGUACAGAAGGCAGCUACCUGGUGACAGGAUGCUAAUCCCAAAAGCCUCUCUCAGUUCGGAUCGAAGUCUGCAACCCGACUUCGUGAAGCUGGAUUCGCUAGUAAUCGCGCAUCAGCCACGGCGCGGUGAAUACGUUCCCG
This 1016-nucleotide ribosomal RNA is filed under the name uncultured bacterium. RNAcentral describes it as "bacterial SSU rRNA". It matches the Rfam family "Bacterial small subunit ribosomal RNA", at positions 357 to 1376 of the family's 1533-position model. The record is from RNAcentral.